RNAcentral lists this ribosomal RNA (230 nucleotides) under uncultured bacterium. RNAcentral's name for it is "partial 16S ribosomal RNA". It matches the Rfam family "Bacterial small subunit ribosomal RNA", at positions 563 to 791 of the family's 1533-position model. The record is from RNAcentral.
AAGCGUGCGCAGGCGGUUUUGUAAGACUGUCGUGAAAUCCCCGGGCUCAACCUGGGAAUGGCGAUGGUGACUGCAAGGCUAGAGUUUGGCAGAGGGGGGUAGAAUUCCACGUGUAGCAGUGAAAUGCGUAGAUAUGUGGAGGAACACCGAUGGCGAAGGCAGCCCCCUGGGUCAAAACUGACGCUCAUGCACGAAAGCGUGGGGAGCAAACAGGAUUAGAUACCCCUGUU